UGCAGUCGAGCGGAUGACAGGAGCUUGCUCCUGAAUUCAGCGGCGGACGGGUGAGUAAUGCCUAGGAAUCUGCCUGGUAGUGGGGGACAACGUUUCGAAAGGAACGCUAAUACCGCAUACGUCCUACGGGAGAAAGCAGGGGACCUUCGGGCCUUGCGCUAUCAGAUGAGCCUAGGUCGGAUUAGCUAGUUGGUGAGGUAAUGGCUCACCAAGGCGACGAUCCGUAACUGGUCUGAGAGGAUGAUCAGUCACACUGGAACUGAGACACGGUCCAGACUCCUACGGGAGGCAGCAGUGGGGAAUAUUGGACAAUGGGCGAAAGCCUGAUCCAGCCAUGCCGCGUGUGUGAAGAAGGUCUUCGGAUUGUAAAGCACUUUAAGUUGGGAGGAAGGGCAGUAACCUAAUACGUUGCUGUCUUGACGUUACCGACAGAAUAAGCACCGGCUAACUCUGUGCCAGCAGCCGCGGUAAUACAGAGGGUGCAAGCGUUAAUCGGAAUUACUGGGCGUAAAGCGCGCGUAGGUGGUUUGUUAAGUUGGAUGUGAAAGCCCCGGGCUCAACCUGGGAACUGCAUUCAAAACUGACAAGCUAGAGUAUGGUAGAGGGUGGUGGAAUUUCCUGUGUAGCGGUGAAAUGCGUAGAUAUAGGAAGGAA
Molecule: ribosomal RNA, 654 nt
Filed under: Pseudomonas sp. LT45
Lineage: Bacteria; Pseudomonadati; Pseudomonadota; Gammaproteobacteria; Pseudomonadales; Pseudomonadaceae
Description: bacterial SSU rRNA
Rfam family: Bacterial small subunit ribosomal RNA
Source: RNAcentral